GGCUAGUUAGCUCAUAUGGUUAGAGCGCACAGCUAAUGAAGCCGAGGUCAUGGGUUCAAUCCCCAUAUGGGUUA
Molecule: transfer RNA, 74 nt
Organism: Monodelphis domestica (gray short-tailed opossum)
Lineage: Eukaryota; Metazoa; Chordata; Mammalia; Didelphimorphia; Didelphidae
Rfam family: tRNA
About the family: Transfer RNA (tRNA) molecules are approximately 80 nucleotides in length. Their secondary structure includes four short double-helical elements and three loops (D, anti-codon, and T loops).
Source: Rfam